This 409-nucleotide ribosomal RNA is filed under the name uncultured bacterium. RNAcentral describes it as "bacterial SSU rRNA". It matches the Rfam family "Bacterial small subunit ribosomal RNA", at positions 976 to 1381 of the family's 1533-position model. The record is from RNAcentral.
UAGCCUUGACAUACCAAAAAGAUUUCAGAGAUGAGAUUGUGCCUGCUUGCAGGAAUUUGGAUACAGGUGCUGCACGGCUGUCGUCAGCUCGUGUCGUGAGAUGUUGGGUUAAGUCCCGCAACGAGCGCAACCCUCGUCCUUAGUUGCUAACAGUUUGGCUGAGCACUCUAAGGAGACUGCCUUCGUAAGGAGGAGGAAGGUGAGGACGACGUCAAGUCAUCAUGGCCCUUAUGGCUAGGGCUACACACGUGCUACAAUGGAUAAGACAAAUAGUCGCAAUACCGCGAGGUGGAGCAAAUCUGUAAACUUAUUCUCAGUUCGGAUAGCAGUCUGCAACUCGACUGCUUGAAGCUGGAAUCGCUAGUAAUCGUAAAUCAGCAAUGUUACGGUGAAUACGUUCCGCGGGUCU